UGAGCAUUCUGGACAAGGAACAACUAACUCUUGAUCCAUUUCAUCUUCAUGGUAGCGAUUCAGGUGAUUUUUGAACGAAUUAAGAAAUUUUGAUGAAAAUUUGCACAAGCUGCAGCAAUAUGGAUUUGUUCUGUAUCUCUGAAAAAUAAGAAAAAGGGGCAUCAUUUGUAGAACUCUCAAAUAACAUAAAUAUCAACUGGUCAAUGCAUAGUACCAAAAAAGCACCAUGGUCUUUUUAAUUGGAUAUAAACUCUUCUUCAGCAACAUUGUCCCAAUGAGAUACAUCACUCCAUGAAGUACUGGAGAAAUAUUUUUCUCCUGGAUCAAAACUUUUCAGAGUCUAAGAAAAAGCAAGGUGGGUAAGAAAUAGCUCAUAACUAAAAUAAAAUGUUACUUAAUGCAGUUACUUUAAAAUUAGACUGAGAUUCCAAAGCCUGGUGUAAUACCCCAACUUUUUCCCCCCAAAUCCUAUAGCCCAAGCAAACCACAAUUACCAAAAAGCAUAAUGUAUGACCUUUAUUAUUUUAAUUUUAAAAAAUCCACUCCAAACAAAAGGUGAAUUAUGGCCUCACGAACUUGGCAUUACCAUCCUGACCAUAACUGCUUUCACCUUCCUAAACGAUUUUCAAGAAUGGCUUUUGGCCAGCUAAAGUAGGCCCACUGAUAAAAUCAGUAAUUUUAUCUGGUUUGUGCCAAUCCAAGCUCAACACUUCACAUUCUCACAAUGCUGGGGGUCUUCAGUAGCGAAAUUUCUGGCUCAACUAUGGAGCAGGAAGGAAGCCUUGAAGUCAGUCACUGGGUGAGGAAGUCCCGAUUGAGGAAAAUUCUUACCUUGCCCUGUUUUCUCUCUCUUUUUGAAAUCAAGAUGGCAGGGCACUCUACCAUGGGUUUUUAAAUUAAGCAAAGAAAUGGUGUUGCAUCUUUCCUUAGAGCUUUUGUCCUCUCUCAGAAAUUCAUUAAGAAAGAACAAAAAAGGAAAGGCAGGGAUUAAGUGAGAUGUUGGUUGGAUGCUGCUUUUUGCAUUUCCCAAUUGGAUGGCAAGCUGGCCUGGCUCAUUAAUAGCACUAAAUGUUUGUGAAUAUGGUAUUCUGAUCUGUCACCGUAAUAAAGUAUUGAAAUCUUCUGAAGAUGGCAAGAGUGAAAGCUGUGCUGAUGCAGAAUCCCCUCUGAUAGUUUGGGAAAUGAAGCAGGAAGCACAGUGCAAGUACAAUUAAAUCUUAUAGCCAUGUUUUCAACCAUUUAGCAGUGAUAACCAACCCAACACCAGUAAUAUUUUCUCCCACCUACUUCUUAAUUCAAUCAAAUUAAUUGAUUUUUGAGGCCACCUAACUUCAAAAGGACUCAGAGCAGCUUACAAUAUUUAAAAUUUGAGGAAGAUUGGCUAUCUAGAAACACAAAAUAUAAAUAAAUAUAAAUAAAAGAUGAAUGUUCAGACACAUCAACAACAUUCACAAGAGAUUUGACAGGGGCUCCAAAAUACCCUAGCCCCAGUCCUGGGAACAAAACUAGGCCUUUAGGGAAUUCAAAAACACUUAAAGAGUGGGAAUCAUGCAUAUCUCUGAGGGAAUGUUGCUCCCAGAGGUACAUGCUUCCAUGUAUUCAAUAUGUUUUUUCCUGUUAUCAAUUCUAAAUGUAUAGUAAAACUAAACUUGAUGAAGUAUUAAUUCAACCAUGCAUUCAAUUUUUAAGAUUUCUCAUCAAUAUUGGAAAUCUAUGAUAAGUGAUAUUAAACACAGAAUAUAUUUUCUUCAGCUAAAAUGCAUGACAUCUAGUUAUGACAAAUACUUUCUCACAGGGUUGUUGUAAGAAUCAAAUUAGCAAAGGAGAGGAUCGUAUAUGAUGCGGUGAGCUUAUACAGGAAAAUCAGGAUAUAAAUGCAAUAUAAAAAUAACCAAAACAAACCAGAGAUUUAAAUAUCUAUAUUUAUCUAAGAUGUUACACUUGAUUUGGUAUUUUAUUCAUCUGAAAAGGUUUUGUUUAUGUAACUGAGGAAGCUUGUAAAAUUCAUGGAAUUUGCCUUGGUUUUAAGAUAUAAACUAUUAUAUUUUAAGACAAUUUUUACAUCGGUGUAUUUGACUAAUCUGUAUUCAUGCACACAUUAUAACUGUAAUAUUAAAAUAUGUUUAAUAUUGAAAA
This is a long non-coding RNA of Ahaetulla prasina, 2136 nucleotides long. RefSeq lists it as uncharacterized. Lineage: Eukaryota; Metazoa; Chordata; Lepidosauria; Squamata; Colubridae. The record is from RefSeq and is a predicted model, not a curated record. The transcript is spliced from 2 exons.